This 259-nucleotide ribosomal RNA is filed under the name uncultured bacterium. RNAcentral's name for it is "partial 16S ribosomal RNA". It matches the Rfam family "Bacterial small subunit ribosomal RNA", at positions 95 to 354 of the family's 1533-position model. The record is from RNAcentral.
UUGGCGGACGGGUGAGUAACGCGUGGAGAACCUGCCGUAUACUGGGGGAUAACACUUAGAAAUAGGUGCUAAUACCGCAUAAGCGCACAGCUUCGCAUGAAGCAGUGUGAAAAACUCCGGUGGUAUACGAUGGAUCCGCGUCUGAUUAACUUGUUGGCGGGGUAAAGGCCCACCAAGGCGACGAUCAGUAGCCGGCCUGAGAGGGUGAACGGCCACAUUGGGACUGAGACACGGCCCAAACUCCUACGGAAGGCAGCAG